RNAcentral lists this ribosomal RNA (429 nucleotides) under Chloroflexota bacterium. RNAcentral describes it as "Chloroflexi bacterium partial 16S ribosomal RNA". It matches the Rfam family "Bacterial small subunit ribosomal RNA", at positions 355 to 776 of the family's 1533-position model. Lineage: Bacteria; Bacillati; Chloroflexota. The record is from RNAcentral.
UGGGGAAUAUUGCACAAUGGGCGCAAGCCUGAUGCAGCCAUGCCGCGUGUAUGAAGAAGGCCUUCGGGUUGUAAAGUACUUUCAGUCGGGAGGAAGGUGGUAAGGUUAAUAACCUUAUCAAUUGACGUUACCGACAGAAGAAGCACCGGCUAACUCCGUGCCAGCAGCCGCGGUAAUACGGAGGGUGCAAGCGUUAAUCGGAAUUACUGGGCGUAAAGCGCACGCAGGCGGUUGAUUGAGUCAGAUGUGAAAUCCCCGGGCUUAACCCGGGAAUUGCAUCUGAUACUGGUCAGCUAGAGUCUUGUAGAGGGGGGUAGAAUUCCAUGUGUAGCGGUGAAAUGCGUAGAGAUGUGGAGGAAUACCGGUGGCGAAGGCGGCCCCCUGGACAAAGACUGACGCGCAGGUGCGAAAGCGUGGGGAGCAAACAGG